AGUGAACGCUGGCGGUAGGCCUAACACAUGCCAGUCGAACGGCAGCACAGUAAGAGCUUGCUCUUACGGGUGGCGAGUGGCGGACGGGUGAGGAAUACAUCGGAAUCUACUUUUUCGUGGGGGAUAACGUAGGGAAACUUACGCUAAUACCGCAUACGACCUACGGGUGAAAGCAGGGGAUCUUCGGACCUUGCGCGAUUGAAUGAGCCGAUGUCGGAUUAGCUAGUUGGCGGGGUAAAGGCCCACCAAGGCGACGAUCCGUAGCUGGUCUGAGAGGAUGAUCAGCCACACUAGAACUGAGACACGGUCCAGACUCCUACGGGAGGCAGCAGUGGGGAAUAUUGGACAAUGGGCGCAAGCCUGAUCCAGCCAUACCGCGUGGGUGAAGAAGGCCUUCGGGUUGUAAAGCCCUUUUGUUGGGAAAGAAAAGCAGCAGGUUAAUACCCCGCUGUUCUGACGGUACCCAAAGAAUAAGCACCGGCUAACUUCGUG
This 492-nucleotide ribosomal RNA is filed under the name uncultured bacterium. Its description in RNAcentral is "partial 16S ribosomal RNA". It matches the Rfam family "Bacterial small subunit ribosomal RNA", at positions 29 to 507 of the family's 1533-position model. The record is from RNAcentral.